AUUGAACGCUGGCGGCAGGCCUAACACAUGCAAGUCGAGCGCGCGGCGCGCGGGUGCGUAUUGUCUGUGAAACUGCCUGAUGUCGAGGGAUAACUCCUGUAAACGGUAUCUAAUACCGCAUAUCCUCAUAUCUGCCCAGGUGGGAUUCGCUGGUCGGUGGGGUAACGGCUCACCUAGGCGACGAUCCGUAGCUGGUCUGAGAGGAUGACCAGCCACACUGGAACUGAGACACGGUCCAGAUUCCUACGGGAGGCAGAAGUGGGGAAUAUUGCGCAAGGGGCGAAAGCCGGAUGCAGCCAUGCCGCGUGUGUGAAGAAGGCCUUCGGUUUGUAAAGCACUUUCAGCGGGGAGGCGGUACCUGAAGAAGAAGCAACGGCUAACUCCGUGCCAGCAGCCGCGGUAAUAC
Molecule: ribosomal RNA, 406 nt
Filed under: uncultured bacterium
Lineage: Bacteria
Description: partial 16S ribosomal RNA
Rfam family: Bacterial small subunit ribosomal RNA
Source: RNAcentral